This 612-nucleotide ribosomal RNA is filed under the name uncultured Alphaproteobacteria bacterium. RNAcentral's name for it is "bacterial SSU rRNA". It matches the Rfam family "Bacterial small subunit ribosomal RNA", at positions 87 to 720 of the family's 1533-position model. The record is from RNAcentral. Lineage: Bacteria; Pseudomonadati; Pseudomonadota; Alphaproteobacteria.
CGGUCCUAGCGGCGGACGGGUGAGUAACGCGUGGGAACGUGCCCCUUUCUUCGGAAUAGCCUCGGGAAACUGGGAGUAAUGCCGGAUACGCCGGAUCAUCGAGAGAUGGUUUGGGAAAGAUUUAUCGGAGAGGGAUCGGCCCGCGUUGGAUUAGGUAGUUGGUGGGGUAAUGGCCUACCAAGCCGACGAUCCAUAGCUGGUUUGAGAGGAUGAUCAGCCACACUGGGACUGAGACACGGCCCAGACUCCUACGGGAGGCAGCAGUGGGGAAUCUUGGACAAUGGGGGCAACCCUGAUCCAGCCAUGCCGCGUGAACGAUGAAGGCCUUAGGGUUGUAAAGUUCUUUCAGCGGGGAAGAUAAUGACGGUACCCGCAGAAGAAGCCCCGGCUAACUCCGUGCCAGCAGCCGCGGUAAUACGGAGGGGGCUAGCGUUGUUCGGAAUUACUGGGCGUAAAGCGCACGUAGGCGGACCAGUUAGUUGGGGGUGAAAUCCCGGGGCUCAACCCCGGAACUGCCUCCAAAACUGCUGGUCUGGAGGUCGAGAGAGGUGAGUGGAAUUCCGAGUGUAGAGGUGAAAUUCGUAGAUAUUCGGAGGAACACCAGUGGCGAAG